UACGUAGGGUGCGAGCGUUGUCCGGAAUUAUUGGGCGUAAAGGGCUCGUAGGCGGUCUGUCGCGUCGGGUGUGAAAACUCAGGGCUUAACCCUGAGCCUGCUUCCGAUACGGGCAGACUAGAGGUAUGCAGGGGAGAACGGAAUUCCUGGUGUAGCGGUGGAAUGCGCAGAUAUCAGGAGGAACACCGGUGGCGAAGGCGGUUCUCUGGGCAUUACCUGACGCUGAGGAGCGAAAGUGUGGGGAGCGAACAGG
Molecule: ribosomal RNA, 253 nt
Filed under: uncultured bacterium
Lineage: Bacteria
Description: partial 16S ribosomal RNA
Rfam family: Bacterial small subunit ribosomal RNA
Source: RNAcentral